This 467-nucleotide ribosomal RNA is filed under the name uncultured bacterium. RNAcentral's name for it is "partial 16S ribosomal RNA". It matches the Rfam family "Bacterial small subunit ribosomal RNA", at positions 28 to 507 of the family's 1533-position model. The record is from RNAcentral.
GACGAACGCUGGCGGCGUGCUUAACACAUGCAAGUCGAACGGAAAGGCCCUGCUUUUGUGGGGUGCUCGAGUGGCGAACGGGUGAGUAACACGUGAGUAACCUGCCCUUGACUUUGGGAUAACUUCAGGAAACUGGGGCUAUACCGGAUAGGAGCUCCUGCUGCAUGGUGGGGGGUGGAAAGUUUCGGCGGUUGGGGAUGGACUCGCGGCUUAUCAGCUUGUUGGUGGGGUAGUGGCUUACCAAGGCUUUGACGGGUAGCCGGCCUGAGAGGGUGACCGGCCACAUUGGGACUGAGAUACGGCCCAGACUCCUACGGGAGGCAGCAGUGGGGAAUAUUGCACAAUGGGCGGAAGCCUGAUGCAGCAACGCCGCGUGCGGGAUGACGGCCUUCGGGUUGUAAACCGCUUUCGCCUGUGACGAAGCGUGAGUGACGGUAAUGGGUAAAGAAGCACCGGCUAACUACGUG